This 497-nucleotide ribosomal RNA is filed under the name uncultured bacterium. RNAcentral describes it as "partial 16S ribosomal RNA". It matches the Rfam family "Bacterial small subunit ribosomal RNA", at positions 28 to 507 of the family's 1533-position model. The record is from RNAcentral.
GAUGAACGCUGGCGGCGGGCCUAAUACAUGCAAGUCGAGCGAACGGACGAGAAGCUUGCUUUUCUGAUGUUAGCGGCGGACGGGUGAGUAACACGUGGAUAACCUACCUAUAAGACUGGGAUAACUUCGGGAAACCGGAGCUAAUACCGGAUAAUAUUUUGAACCGCAUGGUUCAAAAGUGAAAGACGGUCUUGCUGUCACUUAUAGAUGGAUCCGCGCUGCAUUAGCUAGUUGGUAAGGUAACGGCUUACCAAGGCAACGAUGCAUAGCCGACCUGAGAGGGUGAUCGGCCACACUGGAACUGAGACACGGUCCAGACUCCUACGGGAGGCAGCAGUAGGGAAUCUUCCGCAAUGGGCGAAAGCCUGACGGAGCAACGCCGCGUGAGUGAUGAAGGUCUUCGGAUCGUAAAACUCUGUUAUUAGGGAAGAACAUAUGUGUAAGUAACUGUGCACAUCUUGACGGUACCUAAUCAGAAAGCCACGGCUAACUACGUG